Molecule: long non-coding RNA, 338 nt
Organism: Ixodes scapularis (black-legged tick)
Lineage: Eukaryota; Metazoa; Arthropoda; Arachnida; Ixodida; Ixodidae
Exons: 3
Source: RefSeq, a predicted model, not a curated record
ACCAUUUCGGCUAAACUAACACCCUGAGACAUGUUCCGCACUUUUGUCAUCCUUGCCCUGGCCACCUGCGCCUUCGCCGGCUUCCUCGGCUUCCCUAGCCGUGCCAGCUACUCGUACCGUGCGCCCACCUUCUCCACUGUCGCCCACGUCCCGGCAGUCGGUCACGUCCACGGCCAUGGCUUAGGCUACGGCCUCGGCUACGGAUACGGCACCUACGGCCUGGGAUACGGCCUACACCAUGGUCACGUUCUCGGCGGUCUCCGAUACGGGGGCUUCUACUAGAGCUGUCAAGCAUAAGGACGAAAAACAGGCAAAUAAAACAGGAGAUAUCAUUGAAA